Molecule: ribosomal RNA, 523 nt
Filed under: uncultured Actinomycetes bacterium
Lineage: Bacteria; Bacillati; Actinomycetota; Actinomycetes
Description: bacterial SSU rRNA
Rfam family: Bacterial small subunit ribosomal RNA
Source: RNAcentral
CCUGACGCAGCGACGCCGCGUGGGGGAAGACGGCCUUCGGGUUGUAAACCUCUUUCGACAGGGACGAAGCCACUCGGGUUAAUAGCCCAGAGGGUGACGGUACCUGCAGAAGAAGCUCCGGCUAACUUCGUGCCAGCAGCCGCGGUAAUACGAAGGGAGCAAGCGUUGUCCGGAUUUAUUGGGCGUAAAGAGCGUGUAGGCGGCCAGACAGGUCCGUUGUGAAAACUGGAGGCUUAACCUCCAGACGUCGAUGGAAACCGUCUGGCUAGAGUCCGGAAGAGGAGAGUGGAAUUCCUGGUGUAGCGGUGAAAUGCGCAGAUAUCAGGAAGAACACCCGUGGCUAAGGCGGCUCUCUAGUACGGUACUGACGCUGAGACGCGAAAGCGUGGGGAGCGAACAGGAUUAGAUACCCUGGUAGUCCACGCCGUAAACGAUGGGUGCUAGGUGUGGGGGGGUGUCGACUCCCUCCGUGCCGAAGCUAACGCAUUAAGCACCCCGCCUGGGGAGUACGGCCGCAAGGCUA